Molecule: ribosomal RNA, 910 nt
Filed under: uncultured bacterium
Lineage: Bacteria
Description: bacterial SSU rRNA
Rfam family: Bacterial small subunit ribosomal RNA
Source: RNAcentral
AGAGUUUGAUCAUGGCUCAGGAUGAACGCUGGCGGCAGGCUUAAUACAUGCAAGUCGAACGGUAACAGAGCUAGCAAUAGCUGCUGACGAGUGGCGGAUGGGUGCGUAACGCGUAUGCAACCUACCUGUAAUUGGAACAUAACGUUGAGAAAUUAGCGCUAAUAUUCCAUGUGGAUAUGAGACGGCAUCGUUUUAUAUUUAAAGAUUUAUUGAUUACAGAUGGGCAUGCGUAUCAUUAGCUAGUUGGUAAGGUAACGGCUCACCAAGGCAACGAUGAUUAGGGGUUCUGAGAGGUUUAUCCCCCACACUGGAACUGAGACACGGUCCAGACUCCUACGGGAGGCAGCAGUGAGGAAUAUUGGUCAAUGGAGGCAACUCUGAACCAGCCAAGUCGCGUGAAGGAUGAAGGUCUUAUGGAUUGUAAACUUCUUUUGCAGGGGAAUAAAUAGCGGUACGUGUACCGUUUUGCAUGUACCCUGCGAAUAAGGAUCGGCUAACUCCGUGCCAGCAGCCGCGGUAAUACGGAGGAUCCGAGCGUUAUCCGGAUUUAUUGGGUUUAAAGGGUGCGCAGGCGGGAGAUUAAGUCGGCGGUGAAAUUUUGCAGCUCAACUGUAAAAGUGCCUUCGAUACUGGCUUCCUUGAGUGUGGAUGAAGUAGGCGGAAUUUGUGGUGUAGCGGUGAAAUGCUUAGAUAUCACGAGGAACUCCGAUUGCGCAGGCAGCUUACUAAACCACUACUGACGCUCAGGCACGAAGGCGUGGGGAUCAAACAGGAUUAGAUACCCUGGUAGUCCACGCAGUAAACGAUGAUUACUGGCUGUUUGCGAUACAAUGUAAGCGGCUGAGCGAAAGCGUUAAGUAAUCCACCUGGGGAGUACGUUCGCAAGAAUGAAACUCAAAUGAAUUGACGG